This 447-nucleotide ribosomal RNA is filed under the name uncultured bacterium. RNAcentral's name for it is "bacterial SSU rRNA". It matches the Rfam family "Bacterial small subunit ribosomal RNA", at positions 328 to 792 of the family's 1533-position model. The record is from RNAcentral.
GCACCAGACUCCUACGGGAGGCAGCAGUGGGGAAUAUUGCACAAUGGGGGGAACCCUGAUGCAGCGACGCCGCGUGGGUGAAGAAGUCAUUCGUGACGUAAAGCCCUAUCAGCAGGGAAGAAAAUGACGGUACCUGACUAAGAAGCCCCGGCUAACUACGUGCCAGCAGCCGCGGUAAUACGUAGGGGGCAAGCGUUAUCCGGAUUUACUGGGUGUAAAGGGAGCGUAGACGGCAUGGCAAGUCAGAUGUGAAAGCCCGGGGCUCAACCCCGGGACUGCAUUUGAAACUGUCAGGCUGGAGUGCAGGAGAGGUAAGUGGAAUUCCUAGUGUAGCGGUGAAAUGCGUAGAUAUUAGGAGGAACACCAGUGGCGAAGGCGGCCUGCUGGGCUUUUACUGACGCUGAGGCUCGAAAGUGUGGGGAGCAAACAGGAUUAGAUACCCUCGUA